GCGGCGGACGGGUGAGUAACACGUGGGCAACCUGCCUGUAAGACUGGGAUAACUUCGGGAAACCGAAGCUAAUACCGGAUAGGAUCUUCUCCUUCAUGGGAGAUGAUUGAAAGAUGGUUUCGGCUAUCACUUACAGAUGGGCCCGCGGUGCAUUAGCUAGUUGGUGAGGUAACGGCUCACCAAGGCAACGAUGCAUAGCCGACCUGAGAGGGUGAUCGGCCACACUGGGACUGAGACACGGCCCAGACUCCUACGGGAGGCAGCAGUAGGGAAUCUUCCGCAAUGGACGAAAGUCUGACGGAGCAACGCCGCGUGAGUGAUGAAGGCUUUCGGGUCGUAAAACUCUGUUGUUAGGGAAGAACAAGUACGAGAGUAACUGCUCGUACCUUGACGGUACCUAACCAGAAAGCCACGGCUAACUACGUGCCAGCAGCCGCGGUAAUACGUAGGUGGCCAGCGUUAUCCGGAAUUAUUGGGCGUAAAGCGCGCGCAGGCGGUUUCUUAAGUCUGAUGUGAAAGCCCACGGCUCAACCGUGGAGGGUCAUUGGAAACUGGGGAACUUGAGUGCAGAAGAGAAAAGCGG
RNAcentral lists this ribosomal RNA (583 nucleotides) under Priestia aryabhattai. Its description in RNAcentral is "bacterial SSU rRNA". It matches the Rfam family "Bacterial small subunit ribosomal RNA", at positions 95 to 664 of the family's 1533-position model. The record is from RNAcentral. Lineage: Bacteria; Bacillati; Bacillota; Bacilli; Caryophanales; Bacillaceae.